RNAcentral lists this long non-coding RNA (832 nucleotides) under Capsicum annuum. Its description in RNAcentral is "long non-coding RNA (CANN_LNC004403)". Lineage: Eukaryota; Viridiplantae; Streptophyta; Magnoliopsida; Solanales; Solanaceae. The record is from RNAcentral.
UUUAUGAGUGCAAAUUGUAUCAAAAGAUGCUAACCAAAUUAAUGUUAUACCUUAAACACUAUGUUUCCCGUCUGUUUCUCGUCAUAUACUUGUAUUGAAUGAAGAGCUUUUUGUUGAUUCUCAUGCUCUGGUCUUUUUUGCCUGCAGAUCGAUCGUCAAACUCUAUCAAUUGCUGUCCGGUUUUUGAAGGCAAAAACUCCAGAACAGAGGGCUGCUGUUGAUUUAGACACCCACUAUUCAAAGGUUGAUUAGUUAUUUAUUUAAUAAUGCUGAAAAUUAAGUGCUCCACUUUCCUAGUUCCCUCCUGCAAAGUGCCAUGUAUUGGUGUACAAAUAAAAUGUAAACUAGAUGGUUUUAUGUGCAUUAUUUUAUUGCUGAUUAGUUGAUUUAUCUUCAAUAGAUAUAAAUUCUAAUCUAUCUCAAAAAAAAAAUAUAUAUAUAUAUAAAUACUAAUCAGUGAUGCUAUUUAUCACGACUAGGGAAUGAUAUCUGACUACCUAUUUGUGUUUUGCUCUUUGCAGGAAUACCUCGAGGAAGAUGUGGGAACUACGACCCGAAGAGCAGUAUUAUAUCAAGUGAGUGACAGAUGUUUCUUCGGCUAUCUUUUAUCUUUUUCAACCAUUGUAAAGUAAUCCACAAGAAACAAGACUUACGGUGCUUACUUGGUUUUUCCCCCCUCUUAUUUUUGGGGUGUGCCAGGAAUAUGUGAAAGGCAUAUCAGCAUCCGGUAUGCAGUCAAAUUGUGGAUUUGAUGGACAGAUAAAUGCUUGUUGGUCUCAUAAGUUAUCACGGGCUGAUCUUGAAUCUAUCUGCUCUGCUGGAUUCCUAAUUU